This 251-nucleotide ribosomal RNA is filed under the name uncultured bacterium. RNAcentral's name for it is "partial 16S ribosomal RNA". It matches the Rfam family "Bacterial small subunit ribosomal RNA", at positions 525 to 775 of the family's 1533-position model. The record is from RNAcentral.
ACGUAGGUGGCAAGCGUUGUCCGGAAUUACUGGGUGUAAAGGGAGCGCAGGCGGGCUAGCAAGUUGGAAGUGAAAUCUAUGGGCUCAACCCAUAAACUGCUUUCAAAACUGCUGGUCUUGAGUGGUGCAGAGGUAGGCGGAAUUCCCGGUGUAGCGGUGGAAUGCGUAGAUAUCGGGAGGAACACCAGUGGCGAAGGCGGCCUACUGGGCACUAACUGACGCUGAGGCUCGAAAGCAUGGGUAGCAAACAG